This 311-nucleotide long non-coding RNA is filed under the name Glycine max (soybean). RNAcentral describes it as "long non-coding RNA (GMAX_LNC001098)". Lineage: Eukaryota; Viridiplantae; Streptophyta; Magnoliopsida; Fabales; Fabaceae. The record is from RNAcentral.
UUAUCACCAAGCAUGGUCAAUCUUGUUUCACAUUCAAACUAGUUUUUUAGUUCAGUAAUCCUGAGGUUCCUUUUGCUCUAUGUUACCUUUCAUGAUCACAGGUUGUGUGAAAUAUGUGGUGAGACUGCAAAAAAUGUUUCGGAUGUUACGGAUAAUGGAUUUAUUGAAGAGUGGAAUGAUACUAGAUUCAUGGACAGUGAUAAUACCUCAUCCAGAAGGUUUGGUGGAUGCUGGCGCGGACAACCAUUUUGUAACUUCUUAAUGGCAUGCCUGGUAAUAGCUUUUGUUCUACCAUGGUUCUUCAGGGUAAA